AACGCGAAGAACCUUACCCAGGUUUGAAAUAUAUAGGACAGUUACAGAAAUGUAAUCUCCCGCAAGGGACUGGAGUCGAGGUGCUGCAUGGCUGUCGUCAGCUCGUGUCGUGAGAUGUUGGGUUAAGUCCCGCAACGAGCGCAACCCUUGUCCUGUGUUGGCAUGCCGCAAGGCGCAACUCUCAGGAGACCGCCAGCGAUAAGUUGGAGGAAGGUGGGGAUGACGUCAAGUCAUCAUGGCCUUUAUGUCCAGGGCCACACACGUGCUACAAUGGGCGGUACAAAGCGCUGCCAACCCGCGAGGGGGAGCUAAUCGCCAAAAACCGUCCUCAGUUCGGAUCGCAGGCUGCAACUCGCCUGCGUGAAGCUGGAAUCGCUAGUAAUGCUAUAUCAGAACGAUAGCGUGAAUACGUUCCCGGGCCUUGUACACACCGGAGUA
This 438-nucleotide ribosomal RNA is filed under the name uncultured bacterium. Its description in RNAcentral is "bacterial SSU rRNA". It matches the Rfam family "Bacterial small subunit ribosomal RNA", at positions 958 to 1398 of the family's 1533-position model. The record is from RNAcentral.